This 429-nucleotide ribosomal RNA is filed under the name Chloroflexota bacterium. RNAcentral describes it as "Chloroflexi bacterium partial 16S ribosomal RNA". It matches the Rfam family "Bacterial small subunit ribosomal RNA", at positions 355 to 776 of the family's 1533-position model. The record is from RNAcentral. Lineage: Bacteria; Bacillati; Chloroflexota.
UGGGGAAUAUUGCACAAUGGGCGCAAGCCUGAUGCAGCCAUGCCGCGUGUGUGAAGAAGGCCUUCGGGUUGUAAAGCACUUUCAGCGGGGAGGAAGGCGCUAAGGUUAAUAACCUUGUCGAUCGACGUUACCCGCAGAAGACGCACCGGCUAACUCCGUGCAAGCAGCCGCGGUAAUACGGAGGGUGCAAGCGUUAAUCGGAAUUACUGGGCGUAAAGCGCACGCAGGCGGUCUGUCAAGUCGGAUGUGAAAUCCCCGGGCUCAACCUGGGAACUGCAUUCGAAACUUGCAGGCUAGAGUCGUGUAGAGGGGGGUAGAAUUCCGGGUGUAGCGGUGAAAUGCGUAGAGAUCUGGAGGAAUACCGGUGGCGAAGGCGGCCCCCUGGACAAAGACUGACGCUCAGGUGCGAAAGCGUGGGGAGCAAACAGG